GGGUCAGUAGGUUGGUCGUGCCACCGGUACGUACUGGUCUCGCUGAUUCCUCCUUCCUGAAGAACCGUAAUGCCAUUAAUUUGGUGUUGCGGGGAAACAGGACUGUUACUUUGAAAAAAUUAGAGUGUUUAAAGCAAGCUAACGCUUGAAUACAUUAGCAUGGAAUAAUGAAAUAGGACGAUCGAUCCUAUUUUGUUGGUCUCUAGGAUUGACGUA
This 216-nucleotide ribosomal RNA is filed under the name Glomeromycotina sp. RNAcentral describes it as "partial small subunit ribosomal RNA". The stretch from base 44 to 216 matches the Rfam family "Eukaryotic small subunit ribosomal RNA", at positions 690 to 864 of the family's 1831-position model. The record is from RNAcentral. Lineage: Eukaryota; Fungi; Glomeromycota.